This 1269-nucleotide long non-coding RNA is filed under the name Monodelphis domestica (gray short-tailed opossum). Its description in RNAcentral is "lncRNA (ENSMODG00000041029.1)". Lineage: Eukaryota; Metazoa; Chordata; Mammalia; Didelphimorphia; Didelphidae. The record is from RNAcentral.
CCCUUUUACUUUGUUUUUCUUAGCAUUUAACAAUUGAUUACAGUUUUCUUUGAUCUUUUUUUUUCCCUUUCACUGAAAUAGGGCUCAGAGACUGUUUACAUGACAGCUCAGAAAGAAUUAGAAAAUCAGAAACAAGUCAAAUCAUUUUGAUGAUUCUAAUAUUAUUUGAUAUGUUCAACAUUAAUUUUGGCCAAAUUUACACAUUUUCUUUUCACUCCCUUUCUCUUUUUCUUCCUUCCCUCCCUUCCUCUUUUUCUUCCUUCCUUCCUUCCUUCCUUCCUUCCUUCCUUCCUUCCUUCCUUCCUUCCUUCCUUCCUUCCUUCCUUCCUUCCUUCCUUCCUUCCUUCCUUCCUUCCUUCCUUCCUUCCUUCCUUCCUUCCUUCCUUCCUUCCUUCCUUCCUUCCUUCCUUCCUUCCUUCCUUCUUCCUUCCUGCCUUCCUGCCUUCCUGCCUUCCUGCCUUCCUGCCUUCUUUCCUUUGUCUCUCUUCUGUUUUUAUAUAAAGGAAUCUAUUUAGAGUUCCAUUUAAACUACAUGACACUCAGUUAGUUAUAUGCCAAAAGAUGAGGUUGAGCUCAUCAGAUUAAGUUUUGAUAGGACAUCCUAGGGUAAUACAAACAAGUCAUUCCCUUCCAAUAAGAGUUACUAUUGUAAAAUUUGGGAAGCCAUUUCAGCAAUGAUAAACAACCCUGAGGAUCUGAGUAUUUAUUCUAGGCUUCUUAUGAUGACAUAUUUUUAUAACACUUGUCUGACUGCCAGGAAAUGGCAGGCUUUCUCACUCAUUAAACAAAAUUAAAUAGGAAAAAAUUCUGCUUUUAAUCUUCUAUAAUUUUGAUAUGGCCAUGAACUAAUAUGCAAUUGAAAAUUCAUAGUCCACAAGUAAUCAAGAGGUCAUGUUGAGCUGAACUCAUUCACAUUUUCAAAAUUUUAUGGAUUGCUAAAAGAAAGAGCUCUGAUAUGGAAGAACCAUUUUAUACUUCUUAAGAAUCUUUGUUUUUGUAAAUCUUUAUGUUCAGAGAAAACUUUUUUUAAGAACAUAGAAGAUCAAUUGGUGAUAUUGAUUAAAAGAAACUGAAAAGCUUUGCAUUAAUGAAAUCAAUGCAGUAAAUCUGAUGAAGCAGUCACCAUCUGGGAAAAAUAUCUUUGAUAAAAUAAUCUCAUAAUAUUCAGUUAUUCAAGAUAUAUUAGUAAUGAACAUGAAUCUAUGAGAGGACAAUUUGCUAAAGCUGAAGUUGUUAAAAUAUAGGAAAUAAAUCUCAAAAAGAAUUGCA